GCUGGGCAUGGUGGCUCAUGCCUGUAAUCCCAGUACUUUGGGAGGCCGAGGUGGGCGGAUCACCUGAGGUCAGGAGUUCGAGACCAGCCUGACCAACAUGGAGAAACCCCAUCUCUA
RNAcentral lists this non-coding RNA (117 nucleotides) under Nomascus leucogenys (northern white-cheeked gibbon). Lineage: Eukaryota; Metazoa; Chordata; Mammalia; Primates; Hylobatidae. The record is from Rfam by way of RNAcentral.